GGGAAACUGCCUGAUGGAGGGGGAUAACUACUGGAAACGGUAGCUAAUACUGCAUAACGUCGCAAGACCAAAGAGGGGGACCUUCGGGCCUCUUGCCAUCAGAUGUGCCCAGAUGGGAUUAGCUAGUAGGUGGGGUAACGGCUCACCUAGGCGACGAUCCCUAGCUGGUCUGAGAGGAUGACCAGCCACACUGGAACUGAGACACGGUCCAGACUCCUACGGGAGGCAGCAGUGGGGAAUAUUGCACAAUGGGCGCAAGCCUGAUGCAGCCAUGCCGCGUGUAUGAAGAAGGCCUUCGGGUUGUAAAGUACUUUCAGCGGGGAGGAAGGCGAUAAGGUUAAUAACCUUGUCGAUUGACGUUACCCGCAGAAGAAGCACCGGCUAACUCCGUGCCAGCAGCCGCGGUAAUACGGAGGGUGCAAGCGUUAAUCGGAAUUACUGGGCGUAAAGCGCACGCAGGCGGUCUGUCAAGUCGGAUGUGAAAUCCCCGGGCUCAACCUGGGAACUGCAUUCGAAACUGGCAGGCUGGAGUCUUGUAGAGGGGGGUAGAAUUCCAGGU
This 559-nucleotide ribosomal RNA is filed under the name uncultured bacterium. Its description in RNAcentral is "bacterial SSU rRNA". It matches the Rfam family "Bacterial small subunit ribosomal RNA", at positions 120 to 674 of the family's 1533-position model. The record is from RNAcentral.